This 429-nucleotide ribosomal RNA is filed under the name Bacteroidota bacterium. RNAcentral's name for it is "Bacteroidetes bacterium partial 16S ribosomal RNA". It matches the Rfam family "Bacterial small subunit ribosomal RNA", at positions 355 to 776 of the family's 1533-position model. Lineage: Bacteria; Pseudomonadati; Bacteroidota. The record is from RNAcentral.
UAGGGAAUUUUCCGCAAUGGACGCAAGUCUGACGGAGCAACGCCGCGUGAGUGAAGAAGGAUUUCGGUUCGUAAAACUCUGUUGUUAGAGAAGAACAGCGCAUAGAGUAACUGUUAUGCGUGUGACGGUAUCUAACCAGAAAGCCACGGCUAACUACGUGCCAGCAGCCGCGGUAAUACGUAGGUGGCAAGCGUUGUCCGGAUUUAUUGGGCGUAAAGCGAGCGCAGGCGGUCAAUUAAGUCUGAUGUGAAAGCCCCCGGCUCAACCGGGGAGGGUCAUUGGAAACUGGUUGACUUGAGUGCAGAAGAGGCGAGUGGAAUUCCAUGUGUAGCGGUGAAAUGCGUAGAUAUAUGGAGGAACACCAGUGGCGAAGGCGACUCUCUGGUCUGUAACUGACGCUGAGGCUCGAAAGCGUGGGUAGCAAACAGG